ACCAAGGCGACGAUCCCUAGCUGGUCUGAGAGGAUGACCAGCCACACUGGAACUGAGACACGGUCCAGACUCCUACGGGAGGCAGCAGUGGGGAAUAUUGCACAAUGGGCGCAAGCCUGAUGCAGCCAUGCCGCGUGUAUGAAGAAGGCCUUCGGGUUGUAAAGUACUUUCAGCGGGGAGGAAGGGAGUAAAGUUAAUACCUUUGCUCAUUGACGUUAUCCGCAGAAGAAGCACCGGCUAACUCCGUGCCAGCAGCCGCGGUAAUACGGAGGGUGCAAGCGUUAAUCGGAAUUACUGGGCGUAAAGCGCACGCAGGCGGUUUGUUAAGUCAGAUGUGAAAUCCCCGGGCUCAACCUGGGAACUGCAUCUGAUACUGGCAAGCUUGAGUCUCGUAGAGGGGGGUAGAAUUCCAGGUGUAGCGGUGAAAUGCGUAGAGAUCUGGAGGAAUACCGGUGGCGAAGGCGGCCCCCUGGACGAAGACUGACGCUCAGGUGCGAAAGCGUGGGGAGCAAACAGGAUUAGAUACCCUGGUAGUCCACGCCGUAAACGAUGUCGACUUGGAGGUUGUGCCCUUGAGGCGUGGCUUCCGGAGCUAACGCGUUAAGUCGACCGCCUGGGGAGUACGGCCGCAAGGUUAAAACUCAAAUGAAUUGACGGGGGCCCGCACAAGCGGUGGAGCAUGUGGUUUAAUUCGAUGCAACGCGAAGAACCUUACCUGGUCUUGACAUCCACGGAAGUUUUCAGAGAUGAGAAUGUGCCUUCGGGAACCGUGAGACAGGUGCUGCAUGGCUGUCGUCAGCUCGUGUUGUGAAAUGUUGGGUUAAGUCCCGCAACGAGCGCAACCCUUAUCCUUUGUUGCCAGCGGUCCGGCCGGGAACUCAAAGGAGACUGCCAGUGAUAAACUGGAGGAAGGUGGGGACGACGUCAAGUCAUCAUGGCCCUUACGACCAGGGCUACACACGUGCUACAAUGGCGCAUACAAAGAGAAGCGACCUCGCGAGAGCAAGCGGACCUCAUAAAGUGCGUCGUAGUCCGGAUUGGAGUCUGCAACUCGACUCCAUGAAGUCGGAAUCGCUAGUAAUCGUGGAUCAGAAUGCCACGGUGAAUACGUUCCCGGGCCUUGUACACACCGCCCGUCACACCAUGGGAGUGGGUUGCAAAAGAAGUAGGUAGCUUAACCUUCGGGAGGGCGCUUACCACUUUGUGAUUCAUGACUGGGGUGAAGUCGUAACAAGGUAACCGUAGGGGAACCUGCGGUUGGAUCACCUCCUUACCUUAAAGAAGC
This 1285-nucleotide ribosomal RNA is filed under the name Shigella boydii. RNAcentral's name for it is "bacterial SSU rRNA". It matches the Rfam family "Bacterial small subunit ribosomal RNA", at positions 267 to 1533 of the family's 1533-position model. The record is from RNAcentral. Lineage: Bacteria; Pseudomonadati; Pseudomonadota; Gammaproteobacteria; Enterobacterales; Enterobacteriaceae.